AGAGUUUGAUCCUUCCUCAGAUUGAACGCAGGCGGAACGCUUUACACAUGCAAGUCGAACGGGCUUAAGGGGCUUGCUCCUUAAGUUAGUGGCGAACGGGUGAGUAAUAUAUCGGAACGUAUCCAAUAAUGGGGGAUAACUAAGCGAAAGCUUGGCUAAUACCGCAUACGCCCUACGGGGGAAAGCUAGGGACCUUCGGGCCUGGCGUUAAUGGAGCGGCCGAUAUCUGAUUAGCUAGUUGGUGAGGUAAAGGCUCACCAAGGCUUCGAUCAGUAGCUGGUCUGAGAGGACGACCAGCCACACUGGAACUGAGACACGGUCCAGACUCCUACGGGAGGCAGCAGUGGGGAAUUUUGGACAAUGGGCGCAAGCCUGAUCCAGCCAUUCCGCGUGAGUGAAGAAGGCCUUCGGGUUGUAAAGCUCUUUCGCAAGGGAAGAACACUUAGUCUCUAACAUAGACUGAGGUUGACGGUACCUUGAUAAGAAGCACCGGCUAACUACGUGCCAGCAGCCGCGGUAAUACGUAGGGUGCGAGCGUUAAUCGGAAUUACUGGGCGUAAAGCGUGCGCAGGCUGUUUUGUAAGUCAGAUGUGAAAUCCCCGAGCUCAACUUGGGAACUGCGUUUGAAACUACAAGACUAGAAUAUGUCAGAGGGGGGUAGAAUUCCACGUGUAGCAGUGAAAUGCGUAGAGAUGUGGAGGAAUACCAAUGGCGAAGGCAGCCCCCUGGGAUAAUAUUGACGCUCAUGCACGAAAGCGUGGGGAGCAAACAGGAUUAGAUACCCUGGUAGUCCACGCCCCUAACGAUGUCUACUAGUUGUUGGUGGAGUAAAUCCAUG
This 838-nucleotide ribosomal RNA is filed under the name uncultured bacterium. Its description in RNAcentral is "bacterial SSU rRNA". It matches the Rfam family "Bacterial small subunit ribosomal RNA", at positions 8 to 841 of the family's 1533-position model. The record is from RNAcentral.